AUUUAUUGGACGUAUAAAUCUAGAGCGAGACGAAGAGAAAAUUACCUGCGAUUUCUCCGAUAACAGGAAAACCGAGAAAUAAGAAAAAACUAAAUGAAGUUGGACGAUCCUACAGAGAGAUACGGUGUAGGUUGUCCAUGCGGUUGCGAAGGGGGUGGGUUUUCGAAGGCGGGAAGGCCGAUUUAGAGCACAAUGCGGUUCAAUGCCGAGGAAAUUAGCCACGGCGCUGCCGGUGACGCCCGUCAGUCCCACACCAUGGAAAACAGAGACCGUAUCUGUCCCUGUUGCCGGGCUAUGGGAGCACGAGCGUAUCGUUAUCCCCGUGGCACGGAAAUAAAUCUAUCUACGAUGAAUUAGACGGAAUGGUAAAAGAUGUACUGGAAGAAGAAGAAGAAGAAAACCUUCUGAUAAUAAAACGCA
Molecule: unclassified non-coding RNA, 420 nt
Filed under: Bombus terrestris (buff-tailed bumblebee)
Lineage: Eukaryota; Metazoa; Arthropoda; Insecta; Hymenoptera; Apidae
Description: misc RNA ENSBTSG00005036186.1
Source: RNAcentral